AGCGAACGCUGGCGGCAGGCUUAACACAUGCAAGUCGAGCGGGCAUCUUCGGGUGUCAGCGGCGGACGGGUGAGUAACGCGUGGGAACGUGCCUUCUGGUUCGGAAUAACUCAGGGAAACUUGAGCUAAUACCGGAUACGCCCUUUUGGGGAAAGGGUUACUGCCGGAAGAUCGGCCCGCGUCUGAUUAGCUAGUUGGUGGGGUAACGGCCUACCAAGGCGACGAUCAGUAGCUGGUCUGAGAGGAUGAUCAGCCACACUGGGACUGAGACACGGCCCAGACUCCUACGGGAGGCAGCAGUGGGGAAUAUUGGACAAUGGGGGCAACCCUGGUCCAGCCAUGCCGCGUGAGUGAUGAAGGCCUUAGGGUUGUAAAGCUCUUUUAUCCGGACGAUAAUGACGGUACCGGAGGAAUAAGCCCCGGCUAACUUCGUGCCAGCCGCCGCCGUAA
RNAcentral lists this ribosomal RNA (450 nucleotides) under uncultured bacterium. RNAcentral's name for it is "partial 16S ribosomal RNA". It matches the Rfam family "Bacterial small subunit ribosomal RNA", at positions 29 to 523 of the family's 1533-position model. The record is from RNAcentral.